RNAcentral lists this long non-coding RNA (375 nucleotides) under Nicotiana benthamiana. Its description in RNAcentral is "long non-coding RNA (NBEN_LNC026524)". Lineage: Eukaryota; Viridiplantae; Streptophyta; Magnoliopsida; Solanales; Solanaceae. The record is from RNAcentral.
UUGCCUACACCCUAGUUGGAAUAGUGCACGUGCGAAUUAAGCAGGCCUAAGGCAUCCAAGUUCAGAAGAGACUCCAAGGUCCCUAAGCAUGGCUUACCAAAAGGGGGUAGGAACUUAAAGGGGCUAAGAAUAAGUUCAAAGUGAGGAUUAAUGGGAACCAGUGUAUAAAGUGGUGACACCCAGCCUACUGAUUGAGAGUGGCACACCCCAGACUCCUUACAAAGGUUACAAAUAGGAGCAUACUUGUAAACAAGUCAGACAAGGGCCUGGAAGGUGAUUAAGACACCAACAGGCCUUUGUCUAGGCUGAAACACAUAAGAGGGGAAAAGGGAAUGGGACCAUUCUGAGCAUAGGCAAUUAAGCCUUGGAUCUAGA